AUUUCCAUGAAGACAACUCACAAGGACCUGAAUGGCCUCAUUUUAGCUGCUUCAGCGUGUGGAGCUAUUGCUUGCUCCUCCUCUUCCUGUGCCUGGUGUUACAGUGGCUCCUGAGCACCAUGAAGGUUGUUCCAGAGAAAAAUGCUGUCCGCAUACUCUGGGGGCGAGAACGGGGCACUCGGGCCUUUGGAGCUCAGCGGCUUCUGCAGGAGCUGGUGGAAGAUAAAACCCGGUGGAUGAAAUGGGAGGGCAAGAGAGUAGAACUGCCGGAUAGUCCACGCUCUACCUUCUUACUGGCCUUCAGCCCAGACAGGACUCUCUUGGCCUCCACCCAUGUGAACCAUAAUAUCUAUAUUACGGAGGUGAAGACUGGCAAGUGUGUUCAUUCACUGAUUGGACACCGUCGUACUCCAUGGUGUGUCACUUUCCAUCCCACCAUCUCAGGCCUUAUUGCUUCUGGCUGCCUGGAUGGGGAGGUUAGGAUUUGGGAUUUACACGGUGGCAGUGAAAGCUGGUUCACAGAUAGCAACAAUGCCAUUGCCUCUCUGGCUUUCCACCCUACGGCUCAGCUCCUUCUGAUUGCCACUGCCAAUGAGAUCCACUUCUGGGAUUGGAGCCGAAGGGAGCCCUUUGCUGUGGUGAAGACAGCUAGCGAGAUGGAACGGGUCCGUCUGGUGAGAUUUGAUCCUCUUGGACACUACUUACUCACAGCAAUUGUUAACCCCUCUAAUCAGCAGGGUGAUGAUGAACCAGAGAUCCCCAUAGAUGGAACAGAAAUAUCUCACUACCGACAGCGUGCCCUGCUGCAAUCACAGCCAGUUCGCCGGACGCCUCUCCUCCACAAUUUCCUGCACAUGCUGUCCUCUCGCUCCUCUGGCAUCCAGGUGGGAGAGCAAAGCACAGUGCAAGAGUCUGCUACCCCCUCACCCCCACCGCCUCCCCCUCAGCCCUCCAUGGACCGCCCCAGGACUUCCGCUUACAUCAGGCUCCGACAGCGGGUCAGUUACCCCACAGCUGAGUGCUGCCAGCACCUUGGGAUCCUGUGCCUUUGCAGCCGCUGCUCUGGCACUCGAGUUCCUUCCCUCUUGCCACACCAGGACAGUGUUCCCCCUGCUUCUGCCAGGGCUACUACCCCUUCCUUUUCUUUUGUACAGACCGAGCCCUUCCAUCCCCCGGAGCAGGCCUCAUCAACGCAGCAGGACCAGGGCCUCCUGAACCGGCCGUCUGCCUUCAGUACAGUCCAGAGCAGCACUGCCGGCAACACGCUCCGCAACCUCAGUCUGGGUCCCACCCGUCGCUCUUUGGGAGGCCCUUUGUCUAGCCACCCUUCUAGGUAUCACCGAGAAAUAGCUCCCGGACUGACAGGAUCUGAAUGGACCCGGACAGUGCUCAGUCUGAACUCCCGCUCUGAGGCGGAAUCCAUGCCCCCGCCCAGGACCAGUGCCUCUUCGGUGACUUUGCUGUCUGUGCUGAGGCAGCAGGAAGGUGGCUCUCAAGCAUCUGUGUACACUUCAGCCACAGAAGGGAGGGGUUUUCCAGCUUCAGGGUUGGCAACUGAGUCAGAUGGAGGGAAUGGCUCCAGCCAAAACAACUCAGGCAGCAUUCGCCAUGAGCUUCCAUGUGACCUGAGACGCUUCUUUUUGGAGUAUGACCGGCUUCAGGAGCUGGACCAGAGCCUGAAUGGGGAACCCCCCCAGACCCAACAGGCCCAGGAAAUGCUCAAUAAUAACAUUGAAUCUGAGAGGCCAGGCCCCUCCCACCAGCCCACCCCACACAGCAGUGAGAACAACUCCAACCUGUCCCGUGGUCACCUGAACCACUGUCGUGCUUGCCACAAUCUGCUAACCUUUAACAACGAUACCCUGCGUUGGGAAAGAACCACACCUAACUACUCCUCUGGCGAGGCCAGCUCCUCCUGGCAGGUCUCCAGUACCUUUGAAGGCAUGCCAUCGAGUGGCAGCCAAUUACCACCUCUUGAGCGGACUGAGGGCCAUACGCCCAGCUCCAGCAGGCUGGAGUUGAGCAGCUCUGCUAGUCCGCAGGAGGAGAGGACUGUGGGGGUGGCCUUCAACCAGGAGACAGGCCACUGGGAAAGAAUUUACACCCAGUCCAGCAGAACUGGAACUGUAUCACAGGAGGCCUUACAUCAGGAUAUGCCUGAGGAAAGUUCUGAGGAAGAUUCACUCAGGAGGAGGCUGCUGGAGUCUUCCCUCAUUUCAUUAUCCCGUUAUGAUGGAGCAGGAUCCAGAGAGCACCCAAUUUACCCAGACCCAGCGAGAUUAUCUCCUGCUGCAUACUACGCUCAGAGGAUGAUCCAGUAUCUUUCACGGAGAGACAGUAUUCGCCAGCGCUCCAUGCGCUACCAACAGAACCGGCUUCGCUCUUCCACCUCCUCCUCUUCCUCAGACAACCAGGGUCCAUCAGUAGAGGGAACCGACUUGGAAUUUGAGGACUUUGAGGACAAUGGUGACAGAUCCAGGCACCGAGCUCCACGCAACGCCCGGAUGUCUGCACCUUCGCUGGGACGCUUUGUACCAAGGCGUUUCUUGCUGCCUGAAUACUUGCCUUAUGCUGGGAUUUUUCAUGAACGUGGACAGCCUGGCUUGGCUACUCACUCUUCUGUUAACAGGGUCCUGGCAGGGGCAGUGAUUGGUGAUGGACAGUCUGCUGUGGCCAGUAAUAUUGCCAAUACCACCUACCGGCUCCAGUGGUGGGACUUCACUAAAUUUGACCUCCCAGAAAUCAGUAAUGCCUCCGUGAAUGUGCUGGUACAGAACUGCAAGAUCUACAAUGAUGCCAGCUGUGACAUUUCUGCAGAUGGCCAACUCCUGGCAGCUUUCAUCCCUAGCAGCCAAAGGGGCUUUCCCGAUGAAGGCAUCCUGGCAGUGUACUCCCUGGCCCCCCACAACUUGGGUGAAAUGCUCUACACCAAGCGAUUUGGUCCCAAUGCCAUUUCGGUGAGCCUGUCCCCAAUGGGCCGGUACGUAAUGGUGGGCUUGGCCUCACGAAGGAUCCUGCUGCACCCCUCCACAGAGCACAUGGUGGCCCAGGUCUUCAGGCUGCAACAGGCCCAUGGUGGCGAGACCUCCAUGCGGAGAGUUUUCAACGUCCUUUAUCCCAUGCCUGCUGACCAGCGGAGACAUGUCAGCAUCAACUCUGCCCGCUGGCUGCCUGAGCCUGGGCUCGGCCUGGCCUAUGGUACCAACAAGGGAGACCUGGUGAUCUGCCGGCCAGACCAUGCACUUUCUUCCACAGAAAAACAUACUAAAAGAACACUCAUUCCCGGCUGUAACUCUCUUAAGACCUCAGGGAAAGAAUGCAGCUCUGGAUGGGGUUGAUGAUAAGCAUGUCGUAUGAGUGAUGCGGAGAGGGCAGUCUCUCCGUGUUGUCACUAUGGCUGGUCUCUGGCCUAGAAUGAGGAGAACAAAUACAAAUGAGAAUGUAGGAAGGAGCUCAGGGCUGUCAUCUCUUUACAAGGUUGCUGCCUGUCCUUGUGUGAUGCAGCUCCCUGGCACACCCGUUCCCAAGGGCACAGGAUCCAGCCAGCCAGCUGGGCUAAGAUUACAGCCCUCCCUCCAAAACAGGUGGUUUCUGCCUUUGUCCCAGGCACAGGCAGCUGCACCUCAUUUUGUGCUCUCAAGUAUACUCUUGAUUUCUCCUUCAUUGUCUUAGCCUCAGUGCUCUCUCCAAGCACAAAGACGGGUCACAAGCUCCUUGGGCAUCUCUUGGUACUGACACUCUCCCUGACAGUAGAAAAAGACCUAAGGAAACACUCCAUCUCUCUAGGGAAAGAAAUUCUUAGGACCAGUGAGGAGACAAAUAACUGACCCUUCAACCCUAUACAAAGCCAUUACGGUGGCUGGUAGCCAAGGCAGUGAGGUGCUCCUUUCUCCUUGGCUUUGCUCCCCCACUGCCACUCCUCCAAGCUGCUGCUCUGCCUUCUGGCUGACUGCCAGCCCAGCCAACACCCCCACCAAUAACCACAGUGGGUGUGAAAUACCAGAUUGAUGUGAGGGGGUGCUUGCUCACUUCCGGCUUCAUAGAUCAGCCCUACAAAUGGGAGAGAGGUGUUUCUGGGAAGACCACUUCUCAGAGUCAGCUCAGAAGGCAGAAUUCAUAGAAAAAAGUAGGCUCGGGCUGUGGGGCAUCUGGCCUUUGGCUGAGUGUGGGGCUCCUGACAGGGUCCCAGCCCUGUCCCCUGAGAGGGAGCUACCACUGUAAACAGUGAUUACAAUCAAGCAUCAUUGACCACAGAGGGGAACGGCACGCCUCUGAAUCAAAAGGGAAGCCACAGCCACUAUCUUUCAGGCUGUCUGUCCCACAAGAGCCAGGUGCCAACUCUUUCCCACGUCAUGGGGACAGCAGGGAUGAAUGCCGGUCUCCUCAAAACGGUCCUUUUCUCCAAGGAGACAGCCAUGCAACCAAUAGAUGAAAGAAGAGUGUUCUCAAAGGGAAUAUUCCCUAGAAGUUGGGAAGUUCAGAGCCAGAGUUCUUUGUGGAGCAUUGUCACCACUGAGGAGGCCAGGCAGGCUCCUGGCUGUGUUCAGAAGCACAGCUUACAGACACUGCUGAAAGAAGCCGGGUGUUAAGAGGAAGUCCACCUGAAAAGGCUGACCUGACUGGCCUUGCCAUUCGUCUCCAUCCCUUUGUGUGUUUGCUAAGCCCCCAGGAAGAACCUGGAGCAAAUAGUGACUCGUUCAUCCUCAUUAAGCCCCAGGGAGACGGAGGUGGUUAGGACCAUUGGCAUUGAAGACUGAGUUUCUGUGGCCAGAGAUGUUCCUUCAGCUCUGUUCCUUGGUACCUGGAAUUUUCAAAUCCUUGAAAAUAUUCAAGAUCAGAAUAUUUGAUAUUGGGGAACAGAUAUCAGAAUAUCCCGUUGUAGUUGAGCUUUUCCGACCACAGAAAGGAGCCAUAUCAGGACUAGAAAUAGACCUGUUGAUGGGGACAGAAAGGCUUGGGGGGAGGGGGAGGGUGCAGCAGUGCAUCUGAUGCAGCCUGUCAUCCUGUUCCGUUUCAGUGGCCAGAGUCCCCAGCUCUGAGCCAGAUGGGUGGGAAGAGUUUAAGGGGGACCCUUUGACCAUCAGCAUCACGCUGACAGUCCCAGCUCCGAGUGGGCCUUCAGUGGUUUCUUUCCUGUGAUGGAAAGGAAGGUUCUGGUACAUGGUUUGGUGUGAACAAUUUGUUGUCAGUAACCAGCCCUGGCUGACAGGAAUUACAGAGGAAGGAUUGGCAGGGGACCCACAUGGUAUUGCCACCUGUCAAUAAAUCCUGACAAGUUUGCAAAUCAGAGGCUCCCCGGCAGCUGGCAGUGAUGGCUUUGUUUUGGAAGGCCUCUGCUGUUGACUUGUGGCAUUUGCCUUUUUCCUAAUACAAGAUCUGCCCCCCUGACCGUCACUCACCCAUGCCCGUGGUUCUCAGACAACCCCACCAAGCAGCUGAGUGUCUGGAAGAGGGAGGAGAUGCUCCAUUUUAAAGGGGUUCCCAGGCCCUUGGGGAGUUGUCGGGAGGAUUACAUAGAGCAGGGAAAGGAAGAGCACUUUUGGCAGGCUGGGGCACUUUCCCUCCAAAAUCACUAGUGUGCCCUCAGGUGAACCCUGUCCCCAGAAUCUUAGUGAUCCUUUAAAGCAGUGGUUCUCAACCUUCUGUCCCUUUAAAUACAGUUCUUCAUAUUGUGACCCAACCAUAAAAUUAUUUUCGUUGCUACUUUAUAACUGUAAUGUUGCUACUGUUAUGAAUCGUAAUGUAAAUAUCUGAUAUGCAAGAUGGUCUUAGGUGACCCCUGUGAAAGGGUCGUUUGACCACCAAAGGGGUCGCGACCCACAGGUUGAGAACCGUUGCUCUAAAGCAGGGGUGGGGAACAUCCGGCCCUCGAGCUGUAUAAGGCCUGAGAAAUCAUUUGGUCUGGCCCUGGCAAGGCAUUAAGGGUGAGUUAAUUAAAUAUAGCAGCUAAUUUUUAAGUUGACAAUUGUAUGGCCUGUGAAUGAUACUAUAAAUACCCAAAUGGCCCUUGGCAGAAAAAAGGUUCCCCACCCCUGCUCUAAAGACAGGCUUGGGGGCUCAGUGCCAGGCCAAUUUCACUGUGGAGCACAGCCUCCAACAUACAUUCCCUCCUCAUCCAAGUCCUGUCACAUCCCAUAUCAGGGACUGUCUAGUCCUCUUGUUUAAGAAUGAAGCAUCUACAUCACCCUUCACAGUCUCACCUCCUGGCCGACCCUCAGAACCUGCUGCUCCCCUUCACAAUCUCACCUCCUGACUGAUCCUCAGAACCUGCUGACUAAUUUGUUUCCUCUUCAUGGAAGAAGUUCUGUCAUUAGAGGAAGGUGACCUGGGCCCAUAGGUUAAAAAGCUGGCUUUCAUUGGAGAUUGUCAUCGUCUGCGCAGGCCUCCUUAAGAGAGUACAUGGGCUGGAUGGCUUAAUCAAUGACUGUUCCUCCUCGCAGCCUGGAGGCUGAAGCCAGCGUGGCCCAUUCUGGGCCUCGAACUCGGGCAUUGAGUACUACUGGGACCAGCUGAACGAGACUGUCUUCACGGUCCACUCCAGCAGCCGGAGCAGUGAGAGGCCCGGAACCAGCAGAGCCACAUGGAGGACAGACAGAGACAUGGGUCUGAU
Molecule: RNA transcript, 6610 nt
Organism: Myotis daubentonii (Daubenton's bat)
Lineage: Eukaryota; Metazoa; Chordata; Mammalia; Chiroptera; Vespertilionidae
Gene: AMBRA1
Gene name: autophagy and beclin 1 regulator 1
Exons: 18
Source: RefSeq, a predicted model, not a curated record